This 28-nucleotide non-coding RNA is filed under the name Homo sapiens (human). The record is from RNAcentral. Lineage: Eukaryota; Metazoa; Chordata; Mammalia; Primates; Hominidae.
UGCCCAGGUCCCCAAAGGAAGUGAUGGA